Long non-coding RNA from Hippoglossus stenolepis (Pacific halibut), 3532 nucleotides. RefSeq lists it as uncharacterized. Lineage: Eukaryota; Metazoa; Chordata; Actinopteri; Pleuronectiformes; Pleuronectidae. The transcript has 4 exons. The record is from RefSeq and is a predicted model, not a curated record.
GGCAUCACUGAAGACCUGACACCGGCGGAAUCGGACGUCCGCGGUGUCCUCCUCGGCAUCAAUUUAAAAAACCCCGGUUGUUCUCUUGCGCAAAAAACUUCCACCGCCGGCGCGCGAAGCUGACCCGGCCCUGUCGCAGAAAAGGAGCGCGCUUCGCCGGGAGGAGCAGGCAGUUUUUUCCGUGUCCAGACGCUCGGAGAGGCGCAGGGGCGAGACAAUAACGCCCAGAAGUUAUUGAAAUGAAUCGUUUCGGAAGGAGCUGACUGACAUGAGAAGAGGAAACAGAACUAGAAGUAGCAGCGUUGGGCUUCACCGCCGAGGAAAGAAAGGGAAGCACAACCCGCCGCCCACCCCACCACCACCACCACCACUCCAGAGAGGAACGCAAUGAGAACAAGACAAGAGUGAUGAGAGGUCCAGACAUGAAGGAGGCACGCACACAGACACACACAGACACACAUUCAUGGCACCUAGAGUCUGUCUGCGGUCUACCACCAGCCUGCCACACACACCCAUGACUGUUACGGGCAGCAGAUUAAGUGGGCGACGCCAUUCCAGCUGUGAGGAGAUGGAAGAAGUCAACACACACACACACACACACACACACACACACACACACACACACACACACAGACGCAGACAGACACACACACAGAGCCGGAGGCGCACGAGCAUUAAGUCAGGCAGCUAAACAGAUCACGUCGUGGUAUGAUAUCUGCAGACAGGCAGACAGAGGAGGCCGGUUUGUACCUGCAGGCACAGAGCAACAACUCCCAGCACCCUCGCCAGGAAUUUCCUCCCCCUCCUGAGAGACGGAGAGAGAGGGGGGGAACAACUGAAGGUGAGAGAAAGACAUAAAGUGGGAUUUCCACUGUCACGCAAAACACAUCAUUUGAAAACCUAAACACAAAGUGGCUACUAAAUUAUUUUUUUUAUGAUCUGAAAAGGUUCAAGGUCACACCAUCAGAUAUUUCUACUACUGAGACUCAUUGACUAGAAAAUGAAGUCUCAGAGGCACAUGGUGAUGAUUUUUGAUUUAUUUCAUAAAAAGGUAUAUGUAUACUUAUUUAUACAUAAUUACUUCUAUGUAUAAGCCCAGGAAUUUUCAGAAGAGGCUUUGACACUGAAUUUAAAUUGAGACCCACCAUGCUUACAGGCCUAUGUCUCGCAUUAAAAGUGCAUUAAUUACAUUAUAAGAACUGUAAUCAUUACUGAAAUAUCUACAUUCAGUGUUUUAUUUUAUCAUUUUACAUUUUUCUUUUUCUGUUUAAUUUUUAAGCCCAUUUUAUAUAUAUAUAUUUGUUUGUUUUUGUUUUUCGUCCGAUGUGUUUUUCCAUGCAAAGGUUUCCUUUUUGAAAAACGAGCUUGAUGGAGGGAUAAUAACACAUAGUUACAGCUGAGGGCAGCGGGAGGGAAGAGAUAAAGGGGAGGAGUAAAAGUUCUUGCGUCACAUUUUUCGUCCAACGUUCUCCUUUACCUGCGCCGAUGAAAGGAAAUCCUCUGACAUUAAAGACGAACCACUCUUUCACACGCUACGGUGAUAUCGGGCGCAGACGGCUCUUUUGUUAUUCUGGAGUAAUCCGAUCACCUCCUGUGGGAUGUCUCUCCGGAGUUACGAGGCUGUUUUGACAGGGCGCGCUGUACUAAUUAUUAAAACUUACGACAGGGUCCGUUUAGGCAAACCUGUUCGGCUAGUUUUUAUGUUGUGAACGUUGCUCGGGGCUGCUUUGGCAUUUUUUGUUGUUUUUAUAGCUUUUCUUUUUCACUCUGCUCAGCGUCCGUGGCCUUCACCUGUAGUGUCCUGGGUCACGUUUGUAGUGAUUCCUCCUCUGGGAGUCACCAGGACAGUUGUGUGUUGAUCCAAAGAGCAGAUUUAUUGAACCCACUCUUAGUUAAAUUAGCUUUCAGUUCACUCCUGUACAAAUUUUUCCAAACUAGUCCGGCAAUUAAAUUACCCUUAAAGUCAGGAUAUUGCUUUUUUCCCUUUUAAUCUGCCCUCGUUCUCUACCUGGGGGUCGCUCCUCUCAUCAGGAACCGUGUUGGGUGAUUUCCCCGGCGGAGGUUUUGUUCUGGUCCUUUUUCCAAUGCUUUUUUUUUUCUUCAGCCUGAAAAAACGCCUCCUGAAAUUUUUACAAGUCACAGCUCUCCGCACCACAUCCACUUAUCUAAAAAUGAUUCAGUGGUUAAAUGUCAGAGCUGUCCGUGCCAUUAAGGCCAGCCCGUUUGAAGGAAGGACACCCUCAUCCGCCCUCUCCCUCCCUUCCCAUUCCCCUCCUGUCUCCCUUCAGCUCUCUCACCCCCGCCUCCUCCCCUCUCGCCCUCCCUCCAAACCCAGGCUGGUUUGAGGGCUGAUGCGCAGACCUUGUCAUUCAGAUUAAGGCCACAUUGUCAGCUCAGGGCCCUUCUCUUUCUGCGCGUUGCGUGUCCCGGAUCUUUCUUCCCACUGUCACCCUCCUCCUGCGGGCCAGAGAAGACCUUUAUAAAGCAACAUUCCUUCUCAUCCACUUCUGUCAAUUCCAACGCUGUCACUCAAAUCACCGUGCGGGGGAACGGAGAGAGAGACAAGCCGCCGAGUUAGUGGUGUCCCUCGCAGCAAGGACUGUGCUUUUUCGGUCCGGGCACGGGAGACGCGUCGGCAGUUGGCAAACUGUUUUUUUUUGUGACUGAAGUAUUUUGGGUUACGAUAUAGUUUUUGCUCUUGCUCACAAGUGACAAGCUUACAGAAUAUAUUAAGAGAGAUACACAGGAAAUGAGAAAAGUCGAAGCAGCUCUUGUGAUCCAAAGGAGAAAAGAGAAGCAGCACAUUGUUCGCCGUCAGUCAGUGUGGUGGAAAAGUUUCAAAUUCUUCAGCGAUUACUACUUAAUGUGAUGUGGCUUUAUAGUCACAGUGUUAUUUUUAACUCUGAGCUUUCUGUGUGAGCAGAGGCAGGAGAUAUCGCCACAUCGUCUUAGUCACCCCCGAUCCUGCCGGCUGAAAGAGUCCCAACACCACAUUUAUCAUCCGGCCACAUCUUGACUCACUGCCACAGCUUUACUGUCACAUCGUAUCUAUAUAAUUGCAGCAGCAGCAGCAGCAGCAGCAGCCGCCCUGUGGCAUUUGAUUGUUGUGCGUCUCACACACUUUGUUGCUCAUCGCCUUUCUCAUCAUGAGCAACAGUGGAUCAGCACGGUGUAAUAAAAUCUUUUAUGCAAGAUGGCGGACAGUUCCUUUACUGGUAAUAGCACAGCGAGAGAAAAAAAGCCACAGUGCCACAUCAUAGCGAAAGCAACAGACGCGCCAUUGAUAAGGGUGAGUCUGCAGUUUCAUACGCCGCGUCUUCCUCAUCCUCCACCUUGCAGGAAGCCCUCGGGGCACGCCAGCGCCUCUCUGGAGGCCGCGCUGUGCCGCUGUGCUUCAACACAGCAGCUGAUGGCUGGCUGCAGCCUACGCCCAGGUGCUGUGUUUACUAAAACCCGCAAUGAGUCUCGAGUUUCAAGAUGACUCUCCGUCUUCUAACUGAUACUUGUAGUGAAAUAAAAUGAGUUCCCAGAA